Molecule: ribosomal RNA, 295 nt
Filed under: Toxoplasma gondii RUB
Lineage: Eukaryota; Apicomplexa; Conoidasida; Eucoccidiorida; Sarcocystidae
Description: partial 18S ribosomal RNA
Source: RNAcentral
AUCUUAUUAUUCCAUGCUGCAGUAUUCAAGGCGACAAGCCUGCUUGAAACACUCUAAUUUUCUCAAAGUAAAAGUCCUGGAAAAAACUCCACACAAUGAAGUGUGGAGAAAUCCAGAAGGAUGCUAGAAUUCACCAAGUGCACACCCCUGAGGGCGGACUGGCUGCUUCCAGCAGAAAUCCAACUACGAGCUUUUUAACUGCAACAACUUUAAUAUACGCUAUUGGAGCUGGAAUUACCGCGGCUGCUGGCACCAGACUUGCCCUCCAAUUGUUACUCUGAAAGGGGUUUGGAUU